RNAcentral lists this ribosomal RNA (465 nucleotides) under uncultured Klebsiella sp. RNAcentral's name for it is "bacterial SSU rRNA". It matches the Rfam family "Bacterial small subunit ribosomal RNA", at positions 338 to 795 of the family's 1533-position model. Lineage: Bacteria; Pseudomonadati; Pseudomonadota; Gammaproteobacteria; Enterobacterales; Enterobacteriaceae. The record is from RNAcentral.
CCUACGGGGGGCUGCAGUGGGGAAUAUUGCACAAUGGGCGCAAGCCUGAUGCAGCCAUGCCGCGUGUGUGAAGAAGGCCUUCGGGUUGUAAAGCACUUUCAGCGGGGAGGAAGGCGGUGAGGUUAAUAACCUCAUCGAUUGACGUUACCCGCAGAAGAAGCACCGGCUAACUCCGUGCCAGCAGCCGCGGUAAUACGGAGGGUGCAAGCGUUAAUCGGAAUUACUGGGCGUAAAGCGCACGCAGGCGGUCUGUCAAGUCGGAUGUGGAAUCCCCGGGCUCAACCUGGGAACUGCAUUCGAAACUGGCAGGCUAGAGUCAUGUAGAGGGGGGUAGAAUUCCAGGUGUAGCGGUGAAAUGCGUAGAGAUCUGGAGGAAUACCGGUGGCGAAGGCGGCCCCCUGGACAAAGACUGACGCUCAGGUGCGAAAGCGUGGGGAGCAAACAGGAUUAGAUACCCCAGUAGUC